RNAcentral lists this ribosomal RNA (447 nucleotides) under uncultured bacterium. RNAcentral's name for it is "bacterial SSU rRNA". It matches the Rfam family "Bacterial small subunit ribosomal RNA", at positions 328 to 792 of the family's 1533-position model. The record is from RNAcentral.
GGACCAGACUCCUACGGGAGGCAGCAGUGGGGAAUAUUGCACAAUGGGGGAAACCCUGAUGCAGCGACGCCGCGUGAGCGAAGAAGUAUUUCGGUAUGUAAAGCUCUAUCAGCAGGGAAGAUAAUGACGGUACCUGACUAAGAAGCUCCGGCUAAAUACGUGCCAGCAGCCGCGGUAAUACGUAUGGAGCAAGCGUUAUCCGGAUUUACUGGGUGUAAAGGGAGCGCAGACGGCAGGGCAAGUCUGAUGUGAAAGUCUGGGGCUCAACCCCGGGACUGCAUUGGAAACUGUCCGGCUAGAGUGCAGGAGAGGUAAGUGGAAUUCCUAGUGUAGCGGUGAAAUGCGUAGAUAUUAGGAGGAACACCAGUGGCGAAGGCGGCUUACUGGACUGUAACUGACGUUGAGGCUCGAAAGCGUGGGGAGCAAACAGGAUUAGAUACCCGAGUA